GAGACUGUUGACCUGCCAUUCACACCAUCAGUUUUACUACUGGAUCACCAUGCAGAUGGUGAUCUUCUGGAUGUUCAUGCAGACCAUGAGUUUCUAUUAUGUCAGCUGCAAAGAAGAAGUUACCCAACUCCCUCGUUCAGCUUCUGCACAGGGAGGUGGCAUGUUUAAUAUGACAUGUGAAUAUACAACCACUUUUUAUGGCCUCCAGUGGUACAAGCAGGUGCCUGGAGAGAGACUCCAGCAUCUGACAAUCUUGAGAAAGGACGAAGAGAUUACACAGGACAGAUUUGUAUUUCAGCUGCAGAAAGAGAAACAGCUCAGCACCCUGUCUAUCAAACAUGUGGAAGUGUCAGACUCAGCCACAUAUUGGUGUGCUCUGGAGGCACAGUACUAGAAAGCAGCUACUCACUGAACAAAAACUGUUCUACCCACAUUUAGAUAUAGUCUAUUUCCACUGCAUUAGAUAACCAAUAUGCCAUGAAACACACAUGCAUGCAAAUAUGUGAUGCAUCUAUUAUUGAGAAAUCCUUUGUCCAGAAAGCUCUACAAUACAAUUUCCCAUAGGUAAAAAGCUGUAAAAUAUAAAUGGGAAGUUUAUCAAGUUGUGUUUAAUUCUACCAAUGCGAACGCCAGAAUAACUGCCGUUAUUUUAAAUUGCUUCCAGCGGAAGAAAAAACGUCUAAAAAUGUACACACAAUGCCUGGUGAUGUGUAUUGAAUUAUCCUGUCAUUUUUUUACACCAUAUAAUAAAUAUUCAUUAUACAAAUUUCGGGGGGUUGUGGAAGCACUCUAAAGGCUAAAUUAAAGUAUUUUUCAGUAUAAUGGAAGUGCUACUUACAAUGCACU
Molecule: non-coding RNA, 846 nt
Organism: Xenopus laevis (African clawed frog)
Lineage: Eukaryota; Metazoa; Chordata; Amphibia; Anura; Pipidae
Source: the annotation of a RefSeq genome assembly